AUUGAACGCUAGCGGGAUGCCUUACACAUGCAAGUCGAACGGAGUGGCGAACGGGUGAGUAAUGUAUCGGCAUGUGCCCAUUAGCGGGGGAUAACUACGCUAAAGCGUAGCUAAUACCGCAUACUAUUGGAACAGCCGGUAUCGGAUUAGCUAUUUGGGGGGGGAGCGGCUCACCAAGGCGACGAUCCGUAGCUGGUUUGAGAGGACGACCAGCCACACUGGGACUGAGACACGGCCCAGACUCCUCCGGGAGGCAGCAGUGGGGAAUUUUGGACAAUGGGGGAAACCCUGAUCCAGCCAUCCCGCGUGUGCGAUGAAGGCCUUCGGGUUGUAAAGCUCUUUUGGUAGGAAAGCGGUACCUGCAGAAUAAGCACCGGCUAACUACGUGCCAGCAGCCGCGGUAAUAC
RNAcentral lists this ribosomal RNA (407 nucleotides) under uncultured bacterium. Its description in RNAcentral is "partial 16S ribosomal RNA". It matches the Rfam family "Bacterial small subunit ribosomal RNA", at positions 30 to 526 of the family's 1533-position model. The record is from RNAcentral.